AGGGGAUUAGCUCAGUCAGGUUAGAGCAGUGGGGACUAACCCAUGUGUCACAGGUUCGAAUCCUGUAUCCUCUA
This 74-nucleotide transfer RNA is filed under the name Butyrivibrio sp. RNAcentral describes it as "tRNA-OTHER". It matches the Rfam family "tRNA". Rfam says of the family: Transfer RNA (tRNA) molecules are approximately 80 nucleotides in length. Lineage: Bacteria; Bacillati; Bacillota; Clostridia; Lachnospirales; Lachnospiraceae. The record is from RNAcentral.